UGGGAACAUGACCUGAGCCAAAGGCAGACUUUUAACCCACUGAGCCACCAAGGAGCCUCCAGGUUUUUCUACUGUCAAAUCGGAGACUUCUUUCUUAAAAAAAAAAAAAAAAAGAAGAAGUGGUAAACAAGAUCUGGUACCUCUGGUUACAUUUGGUGAUCAGUGGGAAAUACUGCCUGAGGAGACUGGUAAGCCAGUGGUUCUUCCGUGUGUGCCAUCCAGAAUUACCUAGAUGGCUGGUGGGAGUCCACUGUCAGGCUUCAUCCUCCACCCCACUUCCAGAUUCAAGUGAUCUGGGGCUGGCCUCCAGAGUUUCUAACAAUUUCCCAAGGGAAGUUGAUGCUGCCGGUCCAGGAACCACACUUUGAGAAUCACUGUUUGGGGAUCUGUCUCAGAGAAGCAAAAGAAGUGAAUACAGAGGGAAAGAAAAUAUUUGGGAAAUUUUUUCUUAAGAGGCUGCACUUUCUGGGCUCCGGUUUCAUUUACCUUUCUAUUCACUCCACGAUGGCAGGCAGUGUGUAUUCCUAAUGCUUAAAUGCCAGUCAGGAAAUCAAACCACUCGUCCUUAGAAAAUAAAAGGUUUGUGUGGCCUUAGUGCAACGAA
RNA transcript from Canis lupus familiaris (dog), 604 nucleotides. It is a transcript of the gene named basic salivary proline-rich protein 4-like, with no coding region annotated. The record is from RefSeq and is a predicted model, not a curated record. The transcript has 2 exons. NCBI's taxonomy places the organism in Eukaryota, Metazoa, Chordata, Mammalia, Carnivora, Canidae.